AGGGCGCACGGUGGAUGCCUUGACACUAGGAGUCGAUGAAGGACGGGACUAACGCCGAUAUGCUUCGGGGAGCUGUAAGUAAGCUUUGAUCCGAAGAUUUCCGAAUGGGGAAACCCACCAUACGUAAUGGUAUGGUAUCCUUAUCUGAAUACAUAGGGUAAGGAAGACAGACCCAGGGAACUGAAACAUCUAAGUACCUGGAGGAAGAGAAAGCAAAUGCGAUUUCCUGAGUAGCGGCGAGCGAAACGGAACAUAGCCCAAACCAAGAGGCUUGCCUCUUGGGGUUGUAGGACAUUCUAUACGGAGUUACAAAGGAACGAGGUAGACGAAGCGACCUGGAAAGGUCCGUCGUAGAGGGUAACAACCCCGUAGUCGAAACUUCGUUCUCUCUUGAAUGUAUCCUGAGUACGGCGGAACACGUGAAAUUCCGUCGGAAUCUGGGAGGACCAUCUCCCAAGGCUAAAUACUCCCUAGUGAUCGAUAGUGAACCAGUACCGUGAGGGAAAGGUGAAAAGCACCCCGGAAGGGGAGUGAAAGAGAUCCUGAAACCGUGUGCCUACAAAUAGUCAGAGCCCGUUAACGGGUGAUGGCGUGCCUUUUGUAGAAUGAACCGGCGAGUUACGAUCCCGUGCGAGGUUAAGCUGAAGAGGCGGAGCCGCAGCGAAAGCGAGUCUGAAUAGGGCGUUUAGUACGUGGUCGUAGACCCGAAACCAGGUGAUCUACCCAUGUCCAGGGUGAAGUUCAGGUAACACUGAAUGGAGGCCCGAACCCACGCACGUUGAAAAGUGCGGGGAUGAGGUGUGGGUAGCGGAGAAAUUCCAAUCGAACCUGGAGAUAGCUGGUUCUCCCCGAAAUAGCUUUAGGGCUAGCCUUAAGUGUAAGAGUCUUGGAGGUAGAGCACUGAUUGGACUAGGGGUCCUCAUCGGAUUACCGAAUUCAGUCAAACUCCGAAUGCCAAUGACUUAUCCUUAGGAGUCAGACUGCGAGUGAUAAGAUCCGUAGUCAAAAGGGAAACAGCCCAGACCGCCAGCUAAGGUCCCAAAGUGUGUAUUAAGUGGAAAAGGAUGUGGAGUUGCUUAGACAACUAGGAUGUUGGCUUAGAAGCAGCCACCAUUUAAAGAGUGCGUAAUAGCUCACUAGUCGAGUGACUCUGCGCCGAAAAUGUACCGGGGCUAAAUACACCACCGAAGCUGCGGAUUGAUACCAAUGGUAUCAGUGGUAGGGGAGCGUUCUAAGGACAGUGAAGUCAGACCGUAAGGACUGGUGGAGUGCUUAGAAGUGAGAAUGCCGGUAUGAGUAGCGAAAGACGGGUGAGAAUCCCGUCCACCGAAUGCCUAAGGUUUCCUGAGGAAGGCUCGUCCGCUCAGGGUUAGUCAGGACCUAAGCCGAGGCCGACAGGCGUAGGCGAUGGACAACAGGUUGAUAUUCCUGUACCACCUCUUUAUCGUUUGAGCAAUGGAGGGACGCAGAAGGAUAGAAGAAGCGUGCGAUUGGUUGUGCACGUCCAAGCAGUUAGGCUGAUAAGUAGGCAAAUCCGCUUAUCGUAAAGGCUGAGCUGUGAUGGGGAAGCUCCUUAUGGAGCGAAGUCUUUGAUUCCCCGCUGCCAAGAAAAGCUUCUAGCGAGAUAAAAGGUGCCUGUACCGCAAACCGACACAGGUAGGCGAGGAGAGAAUCCUAAGGUGUGCGAGAGAACUCUGGUUAAGGAACUCGGCAAAAUGACCCCGUAACUUCGGGAGAAGGGGUGCUUUCUUAACGGAAAGCCGCAGUGAAUAGGCCCAAGCGACUGUUUAGCAAAAACACAGCUCUCUGCGAAGCCGUAAGGCGAAGUAUAGGGGGUGACACCUGCCCGGUGCUGGAAGGUUAAGGAGAGGGGUUAGCGUAAGCGAAGCUCUGAACUGAAGCCCCAGUAAACGGCGGCCGUAACUAUAACGGUCCUAAGGUAGCGAAAUUCCUUGUCGGGUAAGUUCCGACCCGCACGAAAGGUGUAACGAUUUGGGCACUGUCUCAACCAGAGACUCGGUGAAAUUAUAGUACCUGUGAAGAUGCAGGUUACCCGCGACAGGACGGAAAGACCCCGUGGAGCUUUACUGUAGCCUGAUAUUGAAUUUUGGUACAGUUUGUACAGGAUAGGCGGGAGCCAUUGAAACCGGAGCGCUAGCUUCGGUGGAGGCGCUGGUGGGAUACCGCCCUGACUGUAUUGAAAUUCUAACCUACGGGUCUUAUCGACCCGGGAGACAGUGUCAGGUGGGCAGUUUGACUGGGGCGGUCGCCUCCUAAAGUGUAACGGAGGCGCCCAAAGGUUCCCUCAGAAUGGUUGGAAAUCAUUCGUAGAGUGCAAAGGCAUAAGGGAGCUUGACUGCGAGACCUACAAGUCGAGCAGGGACGAAAGUCGGGCUUAGUGAUCCGGUGGUUCCGCAUGGAAGGGCCAUCGCUCAACGGAUAAAAGCUACCCCGGGGAUAACAGGCUUAUCUCCCCCAAGAGUCCACAUCGACGGGGAGGUUUGGCACCUCGAUGUCGGCUCAUCGCAUCCUGGGGCUGUAGUCGGUCCCAAGGGUUGGGCUGUUCGCCCAUUAAAGCGGUACGCGAGCUGGGUUCAGAACGUCGUGAGACAGUUCGGUCCCUAUCCGUCGUGGGCGUAGGAAAUUUGAGAGGAGCUGUCCUUAGUACGAGAGGACCGGGAUGGACGCACCGCUGGUGUACCAGUUGUUCUGCCAAGGGCAUAGCUGGGUAGCUAUGUGCGGAAGGGAUAAGUGCUGAAAGCAUCUAAGCAUGAAGCCCCCCUCAAGAUGAGAUUUCCCAUAGCGUAAGCUAGUAAGAUCCCUGAAAGAUGAUCAGGUUGAUAGGUUCGAGGUGGAAGCAUGGUGACAUGUGGAGCUGACGAAUACUAAUAGAUCGAGGACUUAACC
RNAcentral lists this ribosomal RNA (2907 nucleotides) under Bacillus thuringiensis. RNAcentral's name for it is "bacterial LSU rRNA". It matches the Rfam family "Bacterial large subunit ribosomal RNA". Lineage: Bacteria; Bacillati; Bacillota; Bacilli; Caryophanales; Bacillaceae. The record is from RNAcentral.